GAAGUGUUCGGAUCGCUGUGACGUAGGUGGUUCGCUGCCCGCGACUCUGCGAGAAGUCCAUUGAACCUUAUCAUUUAGAGGAAGGAGAAGUCGUAACAAGGUUUCCGUAGGUGAACCUGCGGAAGGAUCAUUG
RNAcentral lists this ribosomal RNA (133 nucleotides) under Brachystele ulaei. RNAcentral describes it as "partial 18S ribosomal RNA". It matches the Rfam family "Eukaryotic small subunit ribosomal RNA", at positions 1703 to 1831 of the family's 1831-position model. Lineage: Eukaryota; Viridiplantae; Streptophyta; Magnoliopsida; Asparagales; Orchidaceae. The record is from RNAcentral.